RNAcentral lists this ribosomal RNA (2925 nucleotides) under Escherichia coli O145:H28 str. RM12761. RNAcentral's name for it is "bacterial LSU rRNA". It matches the Rfam family "Bacterial large subunit ribosomal RNA". Lineage: Bacteria; Pseudomonadati; Pseudomonadota; Gammaproteobacteria; Enterobacterales; Enterobacteriaceae. RNAcentral also lists the same sequence under 1 other name. The record is from RNAcentral.
GGUUAAGCGACUAAGCGUACACGGUGGAUGCCCUGGCAGUCAGAGGCGAUGAAGGACGUGCUAAUCUGCGAUAAGCGUCGGUAAGGUGAUAUGAACCGUUAUAACCGGCGAUUUCCGAAUGGGGAAACCCAGUGUGUUUCGACACACUAUCAUUAACUGAAUCCAUAGGUUAAUGAGGCGAACCGGGGGAACUGAAACAUCUAAGUACCCCGAGGAAAAGAAAUCAACCGAGAUUCCCCCAGUAGCGGCGAGCGAACGGGGAGCAGCCCAGAGCCUGAAUCAGUGUGUGUGUUAGUGGAAGCGUCUGGAAAGGCGCGCGAUACAGGGUGACAGCCCCGUACACAAAAAUGCACAUACUGUGAGCUCGAUGAGUAGGGCGGGACACGUGGUAUCCUGUCUGAAUAUGGGGGGACCAUCCUCCAAGGCUAAAUACUCCUGACUGACCGAUAGUGAACCAGUACCGUGAGGGAAAGGCGAAAAGAACCCCGGCGAGGGGAGUGAAAAAGAACCUGAAACCGUGUACGUACAAGCAGUGGGAGCACGCUUCGGCGUGUGACUGCGUACCUUUUGUAUAAUGGGUCAGCGACUUAUAUUCUGUAGCAAGGUUAACCGAAUAGGGGAGCCGAAGGGAAACCGAGUCUUAACUGGGCGUUAAGUUGCAGGGUAUAGACCCGAAACCCGGUGAUCUAGCCAUGGGCAGGUUGAAGGUUGGGUAACACUAACUGGAGGACCGAACCGACUAAUGUUGAAAAAUUAGCGGAUGACUUGUGGCUGGGGGUGAAAGGCCAAUCAAACCGGGAGAUAGCUGGUUCUCCCCGAAAGCUAUUUAGGUAGCGCCUCGUGAAUUCAUCUCCGGGGGUAGAGCACUGUUUCGGCAAGGGGGUCAUCCCGACUUACCAACCCGAUGCAAACUGCGAAUACCGGAGAAUGUUAUCACGGGAGACACACGGCGGGUGCUAACGUCCGUCGUGAAGAGGGAAACAACCCAGACCGCCAGCUAAGGUCCCAAAGUCAUGGUUAAGUGGGAAACGAUGUGGGAAGGCCCAGACAGCCAGGAUGUUGGCUUAGAAGCAGCCAUCAUUUAAAGAAAGCGUAAUAGCUCACUGGUCGAGUCGGCCUGCGCGGAAGAUGUAACGGGGCUAAACCAUGCACCGAAGCUGCGGCAGCGACACUAUGUGUUGUUGGGUAGGGGAGCGUUCUGUAAGCCUGUGAAGGUGUACUGUGAGGUAUGCUGGAGGUAUCAGAAGUGCGAAUGCUGACAUAAGUAACGAUAAAGCGGGUGAAAAGCCCGCUCGCCGGAAGACCAAGGGUUCCUGUCCAACGUUAAUCGGGGCAGGGUGAGUCGACCCCUAAGGCGAGGCCGAAAGGCGUAGUCGAUGGGAAACAGGUUAAUAUUCCUGUACUUGGUGUUACUGCGAAGGGGGGACGGAGAAGGCUAUGUUGGCCGGGCGACGGUUGUCCCGGUUUAAGCGUGUAGGCUGGUUUUCCAGGCAAAUCCGGAAAAUCAAGGCUGAGGCGUGAUGACGAGGCACUACGGUGCUGAAGCAACAAAUGCCCUGCUUCCAGGAAAAGCCUCUAAGCAUCAGGUAACAUCAAAUCGUACCCCAAACCGACACAGGUGGUCAGGUAGAGAAUACCAAGGCGCUUGAGAGAACUCGGGUGAAGGAACUAGGCAAAAUGGUGCCGUAACUUCGGGAGAAGGCACGCUGAUAUGUAGGUGAAGUCCCUCGCGGAUGGAGCUGAAAUCAGUCGAAGAUACCAGCUGGCUGCAACUGUUUAUUAAAAACACAGCACUGUGCAAACACGAAAGUGGACGUAUACGGUGUGACGCCUGCCCGGUGCCGGAAGGUUAAUUGAUGGGGUUAGCGGUAACGCGAAGCUCUUGAUCGAAGCCCCGGUAAACGGCGGCCGUAACUAUAACGGUCCUAAGGUAGCGAAAUUCCUUGUCGGGUAAGUUCCGACCUGCACGAAUGGCGUAAUGAUGGCCAGGCUGUCUCCACCCGAGACUCAGUGAAAUUGAACUCGCUGUGAAGAUGCAGUGUACCCGCGGCAAGACGGAAAGACCCCGUGAACCUUUACUAUAGCUUGACACUGAACAUUGAGCCUUGAUGUGUAGGAUAGGUGGGAGGCUUUGAAGUGUGGACGCCAGUCUGCAUGGAGCCGACCUUGAAAUACCACCCUUUAAUGUUUGAUGUUCUAACGUUGACCCGUGAUCCGGGUUGCGGACAGUGUCUGGUGGGUAGUUUGACUGGGGCGGUCUCCUCCUAAAGAGUAACGGAGGAGCACGAAGGUUGGCUAAUCCUGGUCGGACAUCAGGAGGUUAGUGCAAUGGCAUAAGCCAGCUUGACUGCGAGCGUGACGGCGCGAGCAGGUGCGAAAGCAGGUCAUAGUGAUCCGGUGGUUCUGAAUGGAAGGGCCAUCGCUCAACGGAUAAAAGGUACUCCGGGGAUAACAGGCUGAUACCGCCCAAGAGUUCAUAUCGACGGCGGUGUUUGGCACCUCGAUGUCGGCUCAUCACAUCCUGGGGCUGAAGUAGGUCCCAAGGGUAUGGCUGUUCGCCAUUUAAAGUGGUACGCGAGCUGGGUUUAGAACGUCGUGAGACAGUUCGGUCCCUAUCUGCCGUGGGCGCUGGAGAACUGAGGGGGGCUGCUCCUAGUACGAGAGGACCGGAGUGGACGCAUCACUGGUGUUCGGGUUGUCAUGCCAAUGGCACUGCCCGGUAGCUAAAUGCGGAAGAGAUAAGUGCUGAAAGCAUCUAAGCACGAAAUUUGCCCCGAGAUGAGUUCUCCCUGACUCCUUGAGAGUCCUGAAGGAACGUUGAAGACGACGACGUUGAUAGGCCGGGUGUGUAAGCGCAGCGAUGCGUUGAGCUAACCGGUACUAAUGAACCGUGAGGCUUAACCUUACAACGCCGAAGGUGUUUUG